This 279-nucleotide small RNA is filed under the name Arabidopsis thaliana (thale cress). RNAcentral describes it as "ATSL089910". The record is from RNAcentral. Lineage: Eukaryota; Viridiplantae; Streptophyta; Magnoliopsida; Brassicales; Brassicaceae.
UUUUAAGAUUAAUUUGCGAUUCUAGUUCUUAUAGUCAAUUAUACACAUGACAUCUAGUCAUAUUUGACUCCAAAACACUAACCAAGCUUCUUCUUACUUCUCAAAGCUUUGAUGGUGUAGCCCAAGUCCGUAUGAGUCUUUGGCUUUGUAUCUUCUAACAAGGAAACACUACUUAGGCUUUUAAGAUUCGGUUGCGGUUCUAGUUCUUAUACUCAAUCAUACAAAUGACAUCUAGUCAUAUUUGACUCCAAAAUACUAACCAAGCUUCUUCUUGCCUCU